AGUGAACGCUGGCGGUAGGCCUAACACAUGCCAGUCGAACGGCAGCACAGUAAGAGCUUGCUCUUACGGGUGGCGAGUGGCGGACGGGUGAGGAAUACAUCGGAAUCUACUUUUUCGUGGGGGAUAACGUAGGGAAACUUACGCUGAUACCGCAUACGACCUACGGGUGAAAGCAGGGGAUCUUCGGACCUUGCGCGAUUGAAUGAGCCGAUGUCGGAUUAGCUAGUUGGCGGGGUAAAGGCCCACCAAGGCGACGAUCCGUAGCUGGUCUGAGAGGAUGAUCAGCCACACUGGAACUGAGACACGGUCCAGACUCCUACGGGAGGCAGCAGUGGGGAAUAUUGGACAAUGGGCGCAAGCCUGAUCCAGCCAUACCGCGUGGGUGAAGAAGGCCUUCGGGUUGUAAAGCCCUUUUGUUGGGAAAGAAAAGCAGCAGGUUAAUACCCCGCUGUUCUGACGGUACCCAAAGAAUAAGCACCGGCUAACUUCGUG
Molecule: ribosomal RNA, 492 nt
Filed under: uncultured bacterium
Lineage: Bacteria
Description: partial 16S ribosomal RNA
Rfam family: Bacterial small subunit ribosomal RNA
Source: RNAcentral